GGCAAGGGUAAUUUCAGUGUAGGAAAGGAUGAAACAGCGUCUGUGCCACCAGACCUGAGCCCUAGGACCAUGCCUCAGGACUACCUGGUAUGAUGACUCCUUGCUGUCCCCAGUCCACCUGGCCGUGCUGCUGCUCCAGUUUCAACUGUUCUGCCUGCGGCUAUGGAACCCUGACCUGUUCACCGGACGUGCUUGUUGCACCCUCGACAACUACUAUGAUUAUUAUUAUUUGACCAUGCUGGUCAUUUAUGAACAUUUUAACAUUUUAACAUUUUGACCAUGUUCUGUUUUAAUAUCCACCCUGCACAGCCAGAAGAGGACUGGCCACCCCUCAUAGCCUGGUUCCUCUCUAGGUUUCUUCCUAGGUUUUUGGCCUUUCUAGGGAGUUUUUCCUAGGGAGUUUUUCCUAGCCACCGUGCUUC
RNAcentral lists this long non-coding RNA (422 nucleotides) under Salmo salar (Atlantic salmon). RNAcentral describes it as "lncRNA (ENSSSAG00000102659.1)". The record is from RNAcentral. Lineage: Eukaryota; Metazoa; Chordata; Actinopteri; Salmoniformes; Salmonidae.